ACGGGUGAGUAAUGUAUCGGAACGUGCCUAGUAGCGGGGGAUAACUACGCGAAAGCGUAGCUAAUACCGCAUACGCCCUACGGGGGAAAGCAGGGGAUCGCAAGACCUUGCACUAUUAGAGCGGCCGAUAUCGGAUUAGCUAGUUGGUGGGGUAAUGGCUCACCAAGGCGACGAUCCGUAGCUGGUUUGAGGGGACGACCAGCCACACUGGGACUGAGACACGGCCCAGACUCCUACGGGAGGCAGCAGUGGGGAAUUUUGGACAAUGGGGGAAACCCUGAUCCAGCCAUCCCGCGUGUGCGAUGAAGGCCUUCGGGUUGUAAAGCACUUUUGGCAGGAAAGAAACGUCAUGGGCUAAUACCCCGUGAAACUGACGGUACCUGCAGAAUAAGCACCGGCUAACUACGUGCCAGCAGCCGCGGUAAUACGUAGGGUGCAAGCGUUAAUCGGAAUUACUGGGCGUAAAGCGUGCGCAGGCGGUUCGGAAAGAAAGAUGUGAAAUCCCAGAGCUUAACUUUGGAACUGCAUUUUUAACUACCGGGCUAGAGUGUGUCAGAGGGAGGUGGAAUUCCGCGU
Molecule: ribosomal RNA, 576 nt
Filed under: uncultured bacterium
Lineage: Bacteria
Description: bacterial SSU rRNA
Rfam family: Bacterial small subunit ribosomal RNA
Source: RNAcentral